This is a long non-coding RNA of Gasterosteus aculeatus aculeatus (three-spined stickleback), 545 nucleotides long. Lineage: Eukaryota; Metazoa; Chordata; Actinopteri; Perciformes; Gasterosteidae. The record is from Ensembl.
CCCUUUUUAGCGACGCGGUCUACCGGUAGAUAGAAACCCCUCGCGCUGUUCAGCUCACGUGCCGACGUCUGUUCCCUCCCCAACUCAGCACACAUCGGUAAUACGUCAUGUUGGCUUCAAAAUGAGCAACAAACUCACACUACAAGUUACUCGUGUCCCCAGUUAAGUAUUCAUAACAUUACUUAAAAGGUCGUCUUUGCCAAGGGUGUAACCAUGGAACCAUGGUUCGGACAUUGGGGGGGUCCGCCGGACGCUGCGGCCCCGCUGAGCGGAGCGAGCGGCCACUCAGAGAGUCCCGCUCGGUUGUUGUUACAUCCGACCCACUCUGCAUGCCUCCUACUUUGUGGCGACACCGACGUGCAGUCAGCUGGAAGAGGCAAACAAAGCAAAUGUCAAACGUCUUCCUGUGACCUGAGCAAAUGGCCGUUAAUUAUUCCCGCCUCAGUGUACCAGGUAAAAGCAGCCGCUGUCUGGUAGACACACACACACAGAUGAUACUCCUAUUCCUGAGGAUGUCCUGAUCACAUGCAUGAAUCUCUAAGGCG